This 484-nucleotide ribosomal RNA is filed under the name uncultured bacterium. Its description in RNAcentral is "bacterial SSU rRNA". It matches the Rfam family "Bacterial small subunit ribosomal RNA", at positions 965 to 1449 of the family's 1533-position model. The record is from RNAcentral.
AAAACCUUACCUACCCUUGACAUGUACGGAACUUGCCAGAGAUGGCUUGGUGCUNGAAAGAGAGCCGUAACACAGGUGCUGCAUGGCUGUCGUCAGCUCGUGUCGUGAGAUGUUGGGUUAAGUCCCGCAACGAGCGCAACCCUUGUCAUUAGUUGCUACAUUUAGUUGGGCACUCUAAUGAGACUGCCGGUGACAAACCGGAGGAAGGUGGGGAUGACGUCAAGUCCUCAUGGCCCUUAUGGGUAGGGCUACACACGUCAUACAAUGGCUGGUACAAAGGGUUGCCAACCCGCGAGGGGGAGCUAAUCCCAUAAAGCCAGUCGUAGUCCGGAUCGUAGUCUGCAACUCGACUGCGUGAAGUCGGAAUCGCUAGUAAUCNUGGAUCAGAAUGUCACGGUGAAUACGUUCCCGGGUCUUGUACACACCGCCCGUCACACCAUGGGAGCGGGUCUCGCCAGANGUAGUUAGCCUAACCGCAAGGGGG